UGCUAUACAUGCAGUCGAACGCACAGCGAAAGGUGCUUGCACCUUUCAAGUGAGUGGCGAACGGGUGAGUAACACGUGGACAACCUGCCUCAAGGCUGGGGAUAACAUUUGGAAACAGAUGCUAAUACCGAAUAAAACUUAGUGUCGCAUGACACAAAGUUAAAAGGCGCUUCGGCGUCACCUAGAGAUGGAUCCGCGGUGCAUUAGUUAGUUGGUGGGGUAAAGGCCUACCAAGACAAUGAUGCAUAGCCGAGUUGAGAGACUGAUCGGCCACAUUGGGACUGAGACACGGCCCAAACUCCUACGGGAGGCUGCAGUAGGGAAUCUUCCACAAUGGGCGAAAGCCUGAUGGAGCAACGCCGCGUGUGUGAUGAAGGCUUUCGGGUCGUAAAGCACUGUUGUAUGGGAAGAACAGCUAGAAUAGGAAAUGAUUUUAGUUUGACGGUACCAUACCAGAAAGGGACGGCUAAAUACGUGCCAGCAGCCGCGGUAAUACGUAUGUCCCGAGCGUUAUCCGGAUUUAUUGGGCGUAAAGCGAGCGCAGACGGUUUAUUAAGUCUGAUGUGAAAGCCCGGAGCUCAACUCCGGAAUGGCAUUGGAAACUGGUUAACUUGAGUGCAGUAGAGGUAAGUGGAACUCCAUGUGUAGCGGUGGAAUGCGUAGAUAUAUGGAAGAACACCAGUGGCGAAGGCGGCUUACUGGACUGCAACUGACGUUGAGGCUCGAAAGUGUGGGUAGCAAACAGGAUUAGAUACCCUGGUAGUCCACACCGUAAACGAUGAACACUAGGUGUUAGGAGGUUUCCGCCUCUUAGUGCCGAAGCUAACGCAUUAAGUGUUCCGCCUGGGGAGUACGACCGCAAGGUUGAAACUCAAAGGAAUUGACGGGGACCCGCACAAGCGGUGGAGCAUGUGGUUUAAUUCGAAGCAACGCGAAGAACCUUACCGGGUCUUGACAUCCUUUGAAGCUUUUAGAGAUAGAAGUGUCCUCUUCGGAAAAAAGUGACCGGUGGUGCAUGGCCGUCGUCAGCUCGUGUCGUGAGAUGUUGGGUUAAGUCCCCCACGAGGGCACCC
Molecule: ribosomal RNA, 1073 nt
Filed under: Leuconostoc mesenteroides
Lineage: Bacteria; Bacillati; Bacillota; Bacilli; Lactobacillales; Lactobacillaceae
Description: bacterial SSU rRNA
Rfam family: Bacterial small subunit ribosomal RNA
Source: RNAcentral